RNAcentral lists this ribosomal RNA (232 nucleotides) under uncultured bacterium. RNAcentral describes it as "partial 16S ribosomal RNA". It matches the Rfam family "Bacterial small subunit ribosomal RNA", at positions 118 to 347 of the family's 1533-position model. The record is from RNAcentral.
UGAGCAACCUACCGAAAUGAGGGGGAUAGCCGGCCCAACGGCCGGGUAAUACCGCAUACGCUCGAGACCAGGCAUUUGGACUCGAGGAAACCUCCGGGGCAUUUCGAGGGGCUCGCGGCCUAUCAGCUAGUUGGUGAGGUAACGGCUCACCAAGGCGACGACGGGUAGCUGGUCUGAGAGGAUGGCCAGCCACAUUGGGACUGAGAUACGGCCCAGACUCCUACGGGAGCAG